GAUCUGAUGAUGAGGGUAAUCUCUUAAACCUCUCCUAGUACUCAUAUAAGCUUUCACCAUGUUACUGCCUAAUUCCAGAAAUGUAUUUUCUGAUAGC
Molecule: non-coding RNA, 97 nt
Organism: Lupinus albus (white lupine)
Lineage: Eukaryota; Viridiplantae; Streptophyta; Magnoliopsida; Fabales; Fabaceae
Source: the annotation of a GenBank genome assembly